AAUAAAUCAACACCUUCUGACUAAUCUGAAUCCAGAACUAAAUAGCUCUAUGUUUGUUAUUAUACUCUGCAGGACUUUGCUUCUCAUGCUGAAUGGCUUAAGAUGAGGCUCAUUAGAGAGAAAGUUGGAGAACUCACACCGUUCUGGAAACCGUCUCUGUCUCUCUCCCCCCACCCCCUCCUCCUCCUCAGGAAACUCAGGGAGCCAAAAUCCUGUGAAUACAGGAUGAGAGCGAGACGUGUUUUACGGGUUCUCCACGUGGGAAUGUUCUUGCGAGAUGAAACCUAGGCAGCAGAGUGGAGAAUUCUGGAACACAGCUGUGGAUUUUCAACAAUUUCCUCA
Molecule: long non-coding RNA, 342 nt
Organism: Ictalurus punctatus (channel catfish)
Lineage: Eukaryota; Metazoa; Chordata; Actinopteri; Siluriformes; Ictaluridae
Source: Ensembl